This 276-nucleotide ribosomal RNA is filed under the name Glomerales sp. RNAcentral's name for it is "partial large subunit ribosomal RNA". The record is from RNAcentral. Lineage: Eukaryota; Fungi; Glomeromycota; Glomeromycetes; Glomerales; Glomeraceae.
UUGUGGUGUACUUUCUCGUAACGUAGGUCAACAUCGGUUUCAAUCGUUACAAAAUGAUUAGAGGAACGUAGCUUCGAUCUCGGUUGAAGUGUUAUAGACUCUGUUAGACGUAAUGAUUAAGACCGAGGAUUGCAACGGAUGCUCGUUAGGGCUAUUCGCCUGGUCUCUGAUUCGUCGUUCUGGUGUCAAAAGCUCGCUUAUGAUGUUAGAUCGUGCGGUCAAAAGGUUAGAACGGAUUAAAUUCGUUAAGGAUGUUGACGUAAUGGCUUUAAACGA